RNAcentral lists this long non-coding RNA (697 nucleotides) under Zea mays. RNAcentral describes it as "long non-coding RNA (ZMAY_LNC003066)". The record is from RNAcentral. Lineage: Eukaryota; Viridiplantae; Streptophyta; Magnoliopsida; Poales; Poaceae.
CGCGCCUGACCAGAGAGCACCGCCACGGUUUUUGUUGAGUGUUUGGCACUCUAAAAAGGCAUCAACACCUAUAUUAUUAGCACCACAUAAUCACACAAUCUCGCAAACACUCAGAUGCUCGGAUAGUGUUCCAAGUUCAUCAUCAGCUAAAAGCCAGCCUUACAAUGGACUACCAUUUUCCCUUUUAAACCCCGCUAGGACUCACGACAUGCCUCGACUUACAGGUGGGACCCCGGUUAUAACCCAGUUGUCACCAACAUACUUCGGAUUCAGCUUCCUCUCCCGAUGGCUUUCUCCUUAGCUUCUGGUCCUCAUCAACUCCAGCUUCUGCAACCGGCUUCUCUUCCCUUGGCCUGGUUACUGUGGUUCGUCCGGAAUGACGGUUCAGUUCAUCAGUAUGACACCCUGCAGCUGUUGACAUAUUUUUGCUUUGCACUAGGUAUAGAUUCCAACAACAUGAAGGCGGAAAUUUGAGGAAGCUCAUAGCUCUAGAUCCAUCCAGUAACCAUCUCAGAGGCUUCAUCGCGAAUGAAAUUAUAUAAACUUGACAUCAGUGUCAGCAUAUUUGGUUUUUUCGGACAACUUACUGGAGGGACUUAUUCCUUUUGAAGUUGGCAAUCUUGAACACACUACCGGACAUAGCUUCUUUGUCGAGUGCUUAAGGGUUUAGGGUUUAGGAUAUGGGAACUACUAGUAC